Molecule: ribosomal RNA, 253 nt
Filed under: uncultured bacterium
Lineage: Bacteria
Description: partial 16S ribosomal RNA
Rfam family: Bacterial small subunit ribosomal RNA
Source: RNAcentral
UACGUAGGGUGCAAGCGUUGUCCGGAAUUAUUGGGCGUAAAGAGCUCGUAGGCGGUCUGUCGCGUCGGCUGUGAAAACCCGAGGCUCAACCUCGGGCCUGCAGUCGAUACGGGCAAACUAGAGUACUGCAGGGGAGACUGGAAUUCCUGGUGUAGCGGUGAAAUGCGCAGAUAUCAGGAGGAACACCGGUGGCGAAGGCGGGUCUCUGGGCAGUAACUGACGCUGAGGAGCGAAAGCAUGGGGAGCGAACAGG